Molecule: RNA transcript, 2606 nt
Organism: Homo sapiens (human)
Lineage: Eukaryota; Metazoa; Chordata; Mammalia; Primates; Hominidae
Gene: SAE1
Gene name: SUMO1 activating enzyme subunit 1
Exons: 9
Source: RefSeq, marked validated
ACUCCGGGCGUGCUGCCGGCGGCGGUAGGUGGCGCGCGGGUCCGGCGGGCGGUUGGCUUGAGCGGGACCGGAGCUGAGGCAGGAAGAGCCGGCGCCAUGGUGGAGAAGGAGGAGGCUGGCGGCGGCAUUAGCGAGGAGGAGGCGGCACAGUAUGACCGGCAGAUCCGCCUGUGGGGACUGGAGGCCCAGAAACGGUCAGGGCCGGCGCGGCUUGAGGCCGCUAGGGUCUGGAGGGGGCGUCUAUUCUGAGGCGUUUGCGGCCCGGAAGGAGCGGGAAGGCUGCGGGCCUCUCGGGUGCUUCUUGUCGGCUUGAAAGGACUUGGGGCUGAAAUUGCCAAGAAUCUCAUCUUGGCAGGAGUGAAAGGACUGACCAUGCUGGAUCACGAACAGGUAACUCCAGAAGAUCCCGGAGCUCAGUUCUUGAUUCGUACUGGGUCUGUUGGCCGAAAUAGGGCUGAAGCCUCUUUGGAGCGAGCUCAGAAUCUCAACCCCAUGGUGGAUGUGAAGGUGGACACUGAGGAUAUAGAGAAGAAACCAGAGUCAUUUUUCACUCAAUUCGAUGCUGUGUGUCUGACUUGCUGCUCCAGGGAUGUCAUAGUUAAAGUUGACCAGAUCUGUCACAAAAAUAGCAUCAAGUUCUUUACAGGAGAUGUUUUUGGCUACCAUGGAUACACAUUUGCCAAUCUAGGAGAGCAUGAGUUUGUAGAGGAGAAAACUAAAGUUGCCAAAGUUAGCCAAGGAGUAGAAGAUGGGCCCGACACCAAGAGAGCAAAACUUGAUUCUUCUGAGACAACGAUGGUCAAAAAGAAGGUGGUCUUCUGCCCUGUUAAAGAAGCCCUGGAGGUGGACUGGAGCAGUGAGAAAGCAAAGGCUGCUCUGAAGCGCACGACCUCCGACUACUUUCUCCUUCAAGUGCUCUUAAAGUUCCGUACAGAUAAAGGAAGAGAUCCCAGUUCUGAUACAUAUGAGGAAGAUUCUGAGUUGUUGCUCCAGAUACGAAAUGAUGUGCUUGACUCACUGGGUAUUAGUCCUGACCUGCUUCCUGAGGACUUUGUCAGGUACUGCUUCUCCGAGAUGGCCCCAGUGUGUGCGGUGGUUGGAGGGAUUUUGGCACAGGAAAUUGUGAAGGCCCUGUCUCAGCGGGACCCUCCUCACAACAACUUCUUCUUCUUCGAUGGCAUGAAGGGGAAUGGGAUUGUGGAGUGCCUUGGCCCCAAGUGAACUCAAGAUUUGGCAGCCCCAGAGAUGCCAACUGCAGCAUGCCCACCUGUAUUCCCUGUCCCCUUCCUUCAUGAAGGCAUCUCCAGGCAAGGAAAACUGAAGUCAUUGGCCCGAUACAAAACAUUUCCUGCAACGAAGGAGGUGGUGCCGACGUGCUGCUUCCCAUCACCAGCAGCUGCUCGACAAGGGGCGCAGGGUGGCUGUCUUUGUUCCAGCACUGUUCAGGCUGCCUGUCAUCCCGGGCCUGCCAGCUCCCCUGAGUGAUGAGCACUUCCAAGCACCCCUCUGCCCUUUCUCUGUCCUUAUGCUGUCCCGGCCUCGCCAGCCCUCUGGGGCAUUGUGGGAGAUGCCUGCCAGGAAUGAGCAAGCUCUGUUGCUCGGGAGCCUCUUGUCACCUUCUUGGACUUAUUCCCCACCUGAUACCUUAUAGAGAAAAGUGUGAAUUCAGGUGGAGAGUAGGCCCAGGCCCCAUGAGGCACCAGUGGAAGCACAGCUCCAAGUUCAGACAGGUGCCCUUAGAGAGGAAAACCAUGACAGGCAAAUGCAUUUCCUCUGGAGUUUGAGACCCUGACAAACAACAGGUGGCAUCUGGUGUGCUGUUCUUGAGUUUUCGUUUAGGAUUAGUUGAGUUCCAGCUGGGUUUUGGGAGAAAGGAGAUGCUACCAAGUCUUGGAUGUUAGGGCGAGACCCUGCAAGUUGAGUAUUAGAGAGCUUGUCUUUCAAGGCAGGUUCCUGGGGCUUCAGGGCUAGGAGGGAGGAGCCUGCCCUUUUAACAGAACCCCAGUCACAUGCGGCUCAAGUCACUCAGAGGCUGUUGCAUUUCAGGGCUAUGUUGGUCCUUUGUUUACCUCCUAAACCACAGCUGUUUGUGUUUCACAUAUGUUGUGAAUUUUCCUUGGUUCUUUUUAAAGGAAUGAUAAUAAAGUUACUUGCUUUAGGAUUUGCUUGUUUUUCUUCCACUUCAGAAGCUUCUGAGAGGGAAUGGGAUGAUCCUACCAGUUGCCUUUUCAGACCUGAGGCUCUAACUCAAGAGAUUCCUCCUCUCCCUCACCAUUCCUGCCACCAUUUUUUCUGGGUGAUGCAGCAAGAGUUAAAUUGUUCACAUUCUAGAAUGUGUAGAAGCUUCUGGCUCCAGUUGUCUAAUGGAUAAUUCAGCUAAAUAGUGGCUAUUUUCAGUGGCAAGAAUUAUAAUAAUAAAGGGAAGUCAAAAGUGAUGCUUCAUAUGCCCCAAGUGCCACAGCCGCUACGGGUCAGAGCUUUUAUUGGAAGACCAGGUUUGCCUUGAUGCAGCCAAAGUGCGUUCCAGUUCACCCCACUCUUGCUUGUGUUUCUUCUUUAUGUAAAUUGUGUGAUGUUUCAAUAAAUCAGUCUCUUUCCUAUUCUGA